UACGUAGGGGGCAAGCGUUGUCCGGAAUCAUUGGGCGUAAAGAGCGCGUAGGCGGCCCUGUAAGUCCGCUGUGAAAGUCAAGGGCUCAACCCUUGAAUGCCGGUGGAUACUGCAGGGCUAGAGUCCGGAAGAGGCGAGUGGAAUUCCUGGUGUAGCGGUGAAAUGCGUAGAUAUUGGGAGGAACACCAGUGGCGAAGGCGACUCGCUGGACCGGUUCUGACGCUGAGGCGCGAAAGCGUGGGGAGCAAACAGG
This 253-nucleotide ribosomal RNA is filed under the name uncultured bacterium. RNAcentral's name for it is "partial 16S ribosomal RNA". It matches the Rfam family "Bacterial small subunit ribosomal RNA", at positions 524 to 776 of the family's 1533-position model. The record is from RNAcentral.